UACAGAGGUCUCAAGCGUUGUUCGGAUUCAUUGGGCGUAAAGGGUGCGUAGGCGGCACGGUAAGUCGGGUGUGAAAUCUUGGAGCUUAACUCCGAAACUGCAUUCGAUACUGCCGUGCUUGAGGACUGGAGAGGAGACUGGAAUUUACGGUGUAGCGGUGAAAUGCGUAGAUAUCGUAAGGAAGACCAGUGGCGAAGGCGGGUCUCUGGACAGUUCCUGACGCUGAAGCACGAAGGCCAGGGGAGCAAACGGG
This 253-nucleotide ribosomal RNA is filed under the name uncultured bacterium. Its description in RNAcentral is "partial 16S ribosomal RNA". It matches the Rfam family "Bacterial small subunit ribosomal RNA", at positions 524 to 776 of the family's 1533-position model. The record is from RNAcentral.